Molecule: long non-coding RNA, 881 nt
Filed under: Vitis vinifera (wine grape)
Lineage: Eukaryota; Viridiplantae; Streptophyta; Magnoliopsida; Vitales; Vitaceae
Description: long non-coding RNA (VVIN_LNC004082)
Source: RNAcentral
AUACUGUAAGACAAUAGAUAACACACCAAUCAGAAAUGGGACAAAUGUUUCAGAAGACCCGACAAUUGAAGCAAACAAGCAAACAGAGGUGCAGGCCAACACAUUCAUACUGACCAGAAAGGAAUUGAAGGUCUGAAAAUAAAUGCAUAAACAAAUGGUUCAUCACAGGACAACAGCACUGCAUUUGUUAUAAAACCGCAGUCUCAAUUUAACCAUUGAUGCAGACCGGCAUCACUGGAAGUGAUAGUACACGCAAUUAUACCACCAUCUCAACUGGGGUAUUUAUUAUAUCACUUCACAUUCAUUCAUUCUAGCCCAGCAGUCCAUAAGUAAAUAAACAACUCAACUCCAAACAAGAUAACUUCAAGUAUAUCCCCCAACCUACCAUUUUUAUGCCCUCAAAGAAAGAAGCUGUCACACCAUACACCCUUUAUACCGUAUAAUUCAACACAUUCAACACUAUCGACACUGUCACAUUAAGCUUCCCUACUGACCCUGCAACUUUUUCUUAUGUGAUAUUUCUUUACACCUGUAUCCAGGAUUGGAAGGCACUGAAUGCGGACGUAUAUGUGUGUAAAAUUACCAAAACACCCUAGCGGAGCAGGAAAUUUGAAUUGUAGACACAACUCAAAAAUUCAUUCCUACCAGUGUGUGGGUGAAGACAAGAAGGCAGCUUAAUUGCUAAGAAAAGGACGCAAAAAAGACAGCCACCACAUGGGUGUGUGGACAAGCCAAGACACUUCAAUGCUGGCAUUUAUGACAUAGAAAUAUAUAAUUAUGACGUCAUUAAUCAUCAUGCGUGGCCAUUCAUUCCAAUUUUGUAAAAUUCAGAGACAUUUCGGCCAAACGAUAUCAGAAUGUGACACGUGUGGAGAGGCUCA